ACUGAGCUAAAUCCCCCGUCCCCCAAUACCAUCUUUAAACCAAACGGGAUCAGGUUCCUCACCUGUGAGAUACAGGUGCUAAAUGGUAGCUCCGAUGAUGGCUGUGAGGAUGAUAUGAGACCAUGCGUGCAGAGAGCCUGGCACACAGAGAGUAUGUGACAAAGGUUAGCUGCUCUUAUUAUUAUCCACGGUCCUCUCCUAGGGCGCUCUUCCUCAAAGUGGAACUGCUGUGUCAAAGGUUUUAUGCGCAUGGAUCUACUAUUUGUUAGACUUUUGAGAAUGUCAUUAUUCUAAGCAUGAUCCGAGUCCUGCCUCAGCGUCCUUCCUUGACACGAGUUGGGUACAAGACCACGCACUGUGCAGUUGAUGGCCACUGCUUAACGCGUGGUGGUGGACUGGGGAUGUAACACAUAGAGACAGAGUACAGACAUGACCCUCAUUCUGGGUCUCAAGAAACUGGGGGCUCCAAAGUCAUCCCCGUCCCCAGCGUGAACACAGGAUUGCAUUUCAGAUCCCAAGGAGCCCACUUCAUUGAGUAAAGACUCCUUGGGACUCUAGAGCUGCUCCUCAUGGUCCACUCACUUCAGAACAACCCGUAUAGUCACUUGUUUUCAAUCAUUCAUUCAUUCAUUCAUUCAGCUCCUUUUCAAUGAACGAAUAAUUGAAUUGAAUGCACUCCACUUAGUAUAUGCCAGGCACUGUUCUGAGCGCUGAGUGUAGAGGAGUUAACAAGACAGACAAGCAUCCUUCUCUUAGGGAGCCUGACUUUCUGUGAGGAGCACAGACAAUCAGCAAGUAAUCAUCAGGAAAGAUGAGGCAGUGAUAAUCAGCCGGAUAAAGGCCCUAGGUGGGCAUUAGCUUGGAGAAUUCAUGGGCCUAAGAGAUGCCUACCUGUCUGCAAGAGAGUGAAAGAUGGAGGUGGCUUGAGGAGAGCUUACAGAAGCAGGCAGAACUUAGGAGACAUAGAGCUGUUUGAUCCAA
Fukomys damarensis (Damara mole-rat) is the source of this 981-nucleotide long non-coding RNA. RefSeq lists it as uncharacterized. Lineage: Eukaryota; Metazoa; Chordata; Mammalia; Rodentia; Bathyergidae. The record is from RefSeq and is a predicted model, not a curated record. The transcript has 3 exons.